UGGGGAAUCUUCCGCAAUGGACGAAAGUCUGACGGAGCAACGCCGCGUGAGUGAUGACGGUCUUCGGAUUGUAAAGCUCUGUUAAUCGGGACGAAUGGUUUGUGUGCAAAUAGUGCAUAGACAUGACGGUACCGGAAUAGAAAGCCACGGCUAACUACGUGCCAGCAGCCGCGGUAAUACGUAGGUGGCAAGCGUUGUCCGGAAUUAUUGGGCGUAAAGCGCGCGCAGGCGGACUAGCCAGUCAGUCUUAAAAGUUCGGGGCUUAACCCCGUGAUGGGAUUGAAACUACUAGGCUAGAGUAUCGGGGAGGAAAGUGGAAUUCCUAGUGUAGCGGUGAAAUGCGUAGAUAUUAGGAAGAACACCAGUGGCGAAGGCGACUUUCUGGACGAACACUGACGCUGAGGCGCGAAAGCCAGGGGAGCGAACGGG
Molecule: ribosomal RNA, 429 nt
Filed under: Verrucomicrobiota bacterium
Lineage: Bacteria; Pseudomonadati; Verrucomicrobiota
Description: Verrucomicrobia bacterium partial 16S ribosomal RNA
Rfam family: Bacterial small subunit ribosomal RNA
Source: RNAcentral